GUAAAGCAUUCAACCUGUUUGAUAAAGCCAACUAUUCAUGCUCUAAUAGCUUAAUAGUCAAAAUGAAUUUCACAUUAAAUUAUCAUUUCAUAUGCACAAGAAAAUUAGAUUUGUUUGUCACCAUGGCAACGGCUGCGCAUGUAGCUGCGGUAGCAAGUAGCUCCUUCAAACUUAGCUACAUUUUUGUUUUAAUUAGUCAUUUUCUCGCCUUCAUUACUGAAGCACGUACAGUAACACACUCAUCAACAUCGGAGAAGGUAGUGCAGGGACUGGAUUAAGUGCAGUGGACCUUGAGACGAUCACUGCAUCUCCCGUCCUGACAACCAGAGCAGCCGGGCCAAGCGCCGCCACAGGCGGUGUGACCGACACAGGAAGAGAGGAAAGAUAGGCGGCACAAGAGCUAAGCUAACCCAGGUCGGACCUAAGGCUGUUCCAGUACCCAGUCUACUCCUGGCUAAUGUAAAAUGGUUAAGACUCAGGCUAACUCAACAACGGGAAAGCAGAGACUGCUGUGCCGCAUCUUUACUGAGACCUGGCUGCAUCACAACAUCCCGGAUGAAGCUAUCGCACUCGACGGGCGGAGCGCGUUCCGCGCUGACAGAACUCAAGACUCCGCAAAACCGUGGUUUAGCCUACAGUUUUGAAGCGCUGGCGGAAAUGAGGCGUUUCCGCCGGCCUUCCGACGUGGUGUGCAGGGUGAAUCCGCUGUGCAGAGGAAGGUGCCGGCGUGUCUACCGGAGGCCCCUCCCAGGUGACUCCCUGAAGGCAGUUGGUGACCAAGCUGAUGAGGUCUCCUGGUCGGUCUGGCGGUCUUUCAGGGCUGACGCGAAGGUUUGGGCCAAGUCGCUGCUGGCACAGUUCUCUGGGAGAUGCUGGAUUCGAAGUUUCUUCGGCUCUAACCUAAGUUGUGUUAGAACACAGACAUUGUCCAGGCUUCUUUCAGAAGGGCUUUGCUUUCAAAGUUGGCUGGCUUCCAGCGACUUCUGUAGAGUCUGUGAUGUCAUGGCUUGUCGAAUAAAAUAUCUCUGGCUACA
Siniperca chuatsi (mandarin fish) is the source of this 1034-nucleotide long non-coding RNA. RefSeq lists it as uncharacterized. NCBI's taxonomy places the organism in Eukaryota, Metazoa, Chordata, Actinopteri, Centrarchiformes, Sinipercidae. The transcript is spliced from 2 exons. The record is from RefSeq and is a predicted model, not a curated record.